RNAcentral lists this ribosomal RNA (447 nucleotides) under uncultured bacterium. RNAcentral's name for it is "bacterial SSU rRNA". It matches the Rfam family "Bacterial small subunit ribosomal RNA", at positions 331 to 792 of the family's 1533-position model. The record is from RNAcentral.
CCAGACUCCUACGGGAGGCAGCAGUGGGGAAUAUUGCACAAUGGGCGGAAGCCUGAUGCAGCAACGCCGCGUGAAGGAAGAAGGGUUUCGGCUCGUAAACUUCUAUCAACAGGGACGAAAGAAAUGACGGUACCUGAAUAAGAAGCCCCGGCUAACUACGUGCCAGCAGCCGCGGUAAUACGUAGGGGGCAAGCGUUAUCCGGAUUUACUGGGUGUAAAGGGAGCGUAGGCGGCGAUGCAAGCCAGAUGUGAAAGCCCGGGGCUCAACCCCGGGACUGCAUUUGGAACUGUGUGGCUGGAGUGUCGGAGAGGCAGGCGGAAUUCCUAGUGUAGCGGUGAAAUGCGUAGAUAUUAGGAGGAACACCAGUGGCGAAGGCGGCCUGCUGGACGAUGACUGACGUUGAGGCUCGAAAGCGUGGGGAGCAAACAGGAUUAGAUACCCCUGUA